CCGGGUGGCCCAUGCACCCAGGGCCAUCCGGUGAGCCUUUUUCUCAUCAGGUGCUCGGUUGUGCUCUGUGACCGUUUAACAGCCCCUUGCUAUUCGGCAGAAUGGGAGGAAGUAACUCACGGUUGUCACAGACAAAACAGAGCCGUGUGGGAGGGAGGGCCAAGGAGUGAGGAGGGGGAUGGAGAGCAAGACCCCAACUCCCAAAAGCCUUAAGGACCACACUGGACCCCAGGGAAGCCACCCUCCGGCAAAAGGAAAUUAUUCUUCUUUGUCAAUGUGGCCUUCACAUUAUCUCCAGUUCACUAAGGAAUAAAAAAACGAACCACAGAGAGGGAUCAUGAUCUGCCUGUUAGAGAAAAAAGUCCUGAGGAAGUGUGACUAAGGAAGGACUCCAAGCAGUGGUUGAGCACUUAUACAAUAACGAAACCAGAUGGAGGGACACAUACUGAUGGUCGUUGGUGGCAGCUAAGUGCAUUUAGUUUUGCAUUUGAUAAGGGAUCUGGCUUCCUUUUGACGUAAUGAAUAUAAUAAACCAACAGACAUAUUCUCCAGAUUUCAGACUGUUUGCUCUCAACACUGGGAUUUUUCCAUUGCUUCAGCCAUGAGUGAAUAGUUACCGUCUGAAGGAUAUAAUACAGAGCUGAGUUUAAAUAAAAUGAAAUUGAUACAGAAACACAAUAACCAUUCAGUUUGCAAGAGCCAAA
Long non-coding RNA from Pelobates fuscus (common spadefoot toad), 704 nucleotides. RefSeq lists it as uncharacterized. The transcript has 3 exons. The record is from RefSeq and is a predicted model, not a curated record. Lineage: Eukaryota; Metazoa; Chordata; Amphibia; Anura; Pelobatidae.